RNAcentral lists this ribosomal RNA (359 nucleotides) under uncultured bacterium. Its description in RNAcentral is "bacterial SSU rRNA". It matches the Rfam family "Bacterial small subunit ribosomal RNA", at positions 29 to 415 of the family's 1533-position model. The record is from RNAcentral.
AACGAACGCUGGCGGCAGGCCUAACACAUGCAAGUCGAGCGAACCUUCGGGUUAGCGGCGGACGGGUGAGUAACGCGUGGGAACGUACCCUCUUCUGCGGGAUAGCCACUGGAAACGGUGAGUAAUACCGUAUGAGCCCUUCGGGGGAAAGAUUUAUCGGCAAAGGAUCGGCCCGCGUUGGAUUAGGUAGUUGGUGGGGUAAUGGCCUACCAAGCCUACGAUCCAUAGCUGGUUUUAGAGGAUGAUCAGCCACACUGGGACUGAGACACGGCCCAGACUCCUACGGGAGGCAGCAGUGGGGAAUCUUAGACAAUGGGGGCAACCCUGAUCUAGCCAUGCCGCGUGUAGUGGAGGAAGGC